RNAcentral lists this small RNA (18 nucleotides) under Arabidopsis thaliana (thale cress). RNAcentral's name for it is "ATSL286250". Lineage: Eukaryota; Viridiplantae; Streptophyta; Magnoliopsida; Brassicales; Brassicaceae. The record is from RNAcentral.
UUGAAUCAUCAUCCCUAG